Molecule: ribosomal RNA, 580 nt
Filed under: uncultured fungus
Lineage: Eukaryota; Fungi
Description: eukaryotic LSU rRNA
Rfam family: 5.8S ribosomal RNA (bases 167-320)
Source: RNAcentral
ACCGAGAGUGGAGCCUGGCUCCGGGGGGCCAACCGCCCCCACCUCUUCACCCAUGUAGAUAUUUCUGCGUUGCUUUGGCGCGCCUCCGGGACCUCCGGGGGCCCCUGUCAAAGACCCAAUCAAUUGCCGUGUAUAAGUGUAAUCGGAGUAGAACCACAAUCGUUAAAACUUUCAACAACGGAUCUCUUGGCUCUGGCAUCGAUGAAGAACGCAGCGAAAUGCGAUAAGUAAUGUGAAUUGCAGAAUUCAGUGAAUCAUCGAAUCUUUGAACGCACCUUGCACCCUUUGGUAUCCCGAAGGGUACACCCGUUUGAGUGUCAUUGUAAUCUCACCUCUUCGACUUUUUGUUGAGUCGACCAGUGUGGACUUGGAUGUUGCCGUGUGACAAACGGCUUGUCUGAAAUGCCUGAGUGUACCCUGCUUUGCGGCGUAUUUGGUGUGAUAAAAUCUUCACCGGAGUCUUGACCCUUGUGGUCAGCGCUUGCAUGGUUUGGCUCUAUGCUUUCCAACUGUCCCUAACAAGGACAAACUACUCUGACAAUUUGACCUCAAAUCGGGUGGGACUACCCGCUGAACUUAA